AUUGAACGCUGGCGGCAGGCCUAACACAUGCAAGUCGAACGGUAACACGAAGAAGCUUGCUUCUUUGCUGACGCGUGGCGGACGGGUGAGUAAUGUCUGGGAAACUGCCUGAUGGAGGGGGAUAACUACUGGAAACGGUAGCUAAUACCGCAUAACGUCGCAAGACCAAAGAGGGGGACCUUCGGGCCUCUUGCCAUCGGAUUUGCCCAGAUGGGAUUAGCUAGUAGGUGGGGUAACGGCUCACCUAGGCGACGAUCCCUAGCUGGUCUGAGAGGAUGACCGGCCACACUGGAACUGAGACACGGUCCAGACUCCUACGGGAGGCAGCAGUGGGGAAUAUUGCACAAUGGGCGAAAGCCUGAUGCAGCCAUGCCGCGUGUAUGAAGAAGGCCUUCGGGUUGUAAAGUACUUUCAGCGGGGAGGAAGGGAGUAAAGUUAAUACCUUUGCUCAUUGACGUUACCCGCAGAAGAAGCACCGGCUAACUCCGUG
This 490-nucleotide ribosomal RNA is filed under the name uncultured bacterium. Its description in RNAcentral is "partial 16S ribosomal RNA". It matches the Rfam family "Bacterial small subunit ribosomal RNA", at positions 30 to 507 of the family's 1533-position model. The record is from RNAcentral.